UUUUAUUUGAGAGUUUGAUCCUGGCUCAGGAUGAACGCUGGCGGCGUGCCUAACACAUGCAAGUUGAGCGAUUUACUUCGGUAAAGAGCGGCGGACGGGUGAGUAACGCGUGGGUAACCUACCCUGUACACACGGAUAACAUACCGAAAGGUAUGCUAAUACGGGAUAAUAUAUUUGAGAGGCAUCUCUUGAAUAUCAAAGGUGAGCCAGUACAGGAUGGACCCGCGUCUGAUUAGCUAGUUGGUAAGGUAACGGCUUACCAAGGCGACGAUCAGUAGCCGACCUGAGAGGGUGAUCGGCCACAUUGGAACUGAGACACGGUCCCAACUCCUACGGGAGGCAGCAGUGGGGAAUAUUGCACAAUGGGCGAAAGCCUGAUGCAGCAACGCCGCG
This 393-nucleotide ribosomal RNA is filed under the name Clostridioides difficile. Its description in RNAcentral is "bacterial SSU rRNA". It matches the Rfam family "Bacterial small subunit ribosomal RNA", at positions 1 to 401 of the family's 1533-position model. The record is from RNAcentral. Lineage: Bacteria; Bacillati; Bacillota; Clostridia; Peptostreptococcales; Peptostreptococcaceae.